This 253-nucleotide ribosomal RNA is filed under the name uncultured bacterium. Its description in RNAcentral is "partial 16S ribosomal RNA". It matches the Rfam family "Bacterial small subunit ribosomal RNA", at positions 524 to 776 of the family's 1533-position model. The record is from RNAcentral.
UACGAAGGGGGCUAGCGUUGCUCGGAAUCACUGGGCGUAAAGCGCACGUAGGCGGGUCUUUAAGUCAGGGGUGAAAUCCUGGAGCUCAACUCCAGAACUUCCUUUGAUACUGAAGAUCUUGAGUUCGGGAGAGGUGAGUGGAACUGCGAGUGUAGAGGUGAAAUUCGUAGAUAUUCGCAAGAACACCAGUGGCGAAGGCGGCUCACUGGCCCGAUACUGACGCUGAGGCACGAAAGCGUGGGGAGCAAACAGG